Molecule: long non-coding RNA, 533 nt
Organism: Dama dama (fallow deer)
Lineage: Eukaryota; Metazoa; Chordata; Mammalia; Artiodactyla; Cervidae
Exons: 3
Source: RefSeq, a predicted model, not a curated record
ACUGAACCUGCCAUAUCUGCAGCGUAUGUCUGUCGUAAGUUUCACCAGGACUGGUUCUAGCCUGGAAAACUUCCACAUGCAGGAGCAUCAGAGUGCAAAUUUUCUUACAUAAUUUCAUGUUACUGGAAAACACUACGAAUGCUGUGAGAACAGGACGUGGAAUGAGACCUCCAGUUUCUGAUUCUCCUACUUGUUUGUUGACUGAACAACCAGAUUCGCAUUUUAUAUCACUCCCUGAAAGACAGAGAGAGUACAUCAUGAGAAAUGCUGGGCUGGAAAAAGCACAAGCUGGAAUCAAGAUUGCCAGGAGAAAUAUCAAUAACCUCAGAUAUGCAGAUGACACCACCCUUAUGGCAGAAAGUGAAGAGGAACUAAAAAGCCUCUUGAUGAAAGUGAAAGAGAAGAGUGAAAAAGUUGGCUUAAAGCUCAACAUUCAGAAAAACUAGCAUUGAAACAUGUAUAUUACCAAGUGUGAAACAGAUCGCCAGCCCAGGUUGGAUGCAUGAGACAAGUGCUCAGGGCUGGUGCACUGG